This 816-nucleotide long non-coding RNA is filed under the name Marmota monax (woodchuck). The record is from RNAcentral. Lineage: Eukaryota; Metazoa; Chordata; Mammalia; Rodentia; Sciuridae.
GUGGGUCUCCAGGCCAGCUGGUCCCUGCACUGGCUCCUGGUUAUCCAUCCUGUGUUUCUCCAGGCUGGAAGUCAGAGAGCCCCCCAGGGGCCUGGAAGGAUUCUCCAACACCUGCCCUGCUCCAACUGCUGAGGCAGUGUCAGCAACAGUACAGGCACAAGGUCACUGCUCUGGAGGGACACUGGCAUCUCUGGAGGACUGGAAUGGCCUGGGACCUCCACAUUAGACUAGGGGCUGGCUCUGUGACUCCAGAAAGUCCCACAUCCCAGGGCUUCAGUGCUCAGGUCUGCAAAGUGCCACUGCUGUCCAUGCCUUUGUUCCUUGACAGGUGCAGAGUCAGGGCGACGUAGAUGGGGUCAGAGAAAGCCAGGAAGGUCCCUGGGCAUCUAAGCAGAAACAGUUGGGUCUACCUUCCUGCCUCUUCGGCCUCGGGAAUGUCAGGUUUUUGUGCCUCGGUGUCCUCAUCUGAAUACUGGGUCAGUAAGAAUGGUUGACUCAUAACACUGGGCUGGCAGCUUAAAUGGAAUAGCAGUGAUGACACUGCAUCUGGGCUGGGAUGACGAGGCUCCGUAGGUAGAAACUUAAUUACUAGUAUGUGAGUCAUCUGAGGGCCCUGGAGAGAGGCAUCGCCAUGUACAGUGUGUGGAUGGGGAACGGGCAGCUUGGAUGUGCCCAAGACUACCAGGAGCAGUGUCUGCAGAGCAGAAGUAUAGGCCCAAGGCCCUUAUUUCCAUCAGGUCUGCCCAGCCUCUCAGCCCUAUCACCAGGGCAGCCCCAUCUGUCCCAGCUGCAUCCCAGAUCCAUUUUCUAGAGCCC